This 221-nucleotide ribosomal RNA is filed under the name uncultured bacterium. RNAcentral describes it as "partial 16S ribosomal RNA". It matches the Rfam family "Bacterial small subunit ribosomal RNA", at positions 524 to 744 of the family's 1533-position model. The record is from RNAcentral.
UACGUAGGGUGCAAGCGUUAAUCGGAAUUACUGGGCGUAAAGCGUGCGCAGGCGGUUAUGUAAGACAGAUGUGAAAUCCCCGGGCUCAACCUGGGAACUGCAUUUGUGACUGCAUAGCUAGAGUACGGUAGAGGGGGAUGGAAAUUCCGCGUGUAGCAGUGAAAUGCGUAGAUAUGCGGAGGAACACCGAUGGCGAAGGCAUCCCCUGGACCUGUACUGAC